RNAcentral lists this long non-coding RNA (2191 nucleotides) under Macaca fascicularis (crab-eating macaque). RNAcentral's name for it is "lncRNA (ENSMFAG00000060103.1)". The record is from RNAcentral. Lineage: Eukaryota; Metazoa; Chordata; Mammalia; Primates; Cercopithecidae.
AGGCCUGGCCACUCGACCUCCCAGGUACCCUCCCCACACUCACCACCACCCAACGCAGCCCGGCUCUGAGCUGGGCAAACAUCUUCCGUAAAGGACCGGGCAGCAAGUGUUUUUGGCUCUGCGGAACACGCAGUCCCAAGCGUGACACUCAGCUCCCAGCUCUGCCGCUGCAGCAUGGAGGCCACCAAGGCCGGCAAGGGAACAAAUGGUGUGGCUGUUGCCAAUAAAACUUUGUCGACAAGAACUGGCAUGGACAGAUUCGGGCUGGGGCUCAUGUGGCCACUUGUUGCCAUCCACAGCCUGACGCCCAGCAACUGAGGGCUCCAAGGGGUCAGCGAGGGAGUCCCGUUGGCACCAAAAGACCGGGCACCCUGAGCCCCACCCGGCCCACACGAGGUAUUCAACAAAGGUCUGGAGCCCAUGCGAGGACCUGCAGGAAUGGACCCCACGCUUUCGCGAGCCCUGACUCCCACGGUGGACCCCAGCACCCAGGGAGCAGAGGAAGAACAGGAGCGCUGGGCCUGGCUCAAGGGGAGAAGGAGAACCAAGCUGGAUGGAGGAAGACUGAGCUGGACGGAGGAGGACCGAGCUGGUGCAAGGAGGACUGAGCUGGACGGAGGAGGACCGAGCUGGACCGGGGAAGACCGGGCUGGACUGGGGAGGGUCGAACUGGACCGGGGAGGACCAAGCUGGACCCGGGGGAGGCAGAGGACAGGGAAGGAGUCAGUGGGUUCUGGGCCAGUUCUGAAGGUGAAGCUGACAUCAUUUGCCGCCAGAUCAGCCGCGGGAGUGGGGCAGGGGCAGGGAUGUAGCUGACCUUUCAGGGCAUCAUAGAGACAGAUCAGCCAUGGGAGUGGGACAGGGGCAGAGAUGGAGCUGAGCGUUCUGGGGCAUCACAGAGAUAGGACAGCCUGGAAGAGGCUCAGACACACCCAGGCCACAGCUCAGACCAAACCCCACCACAGGCCAUCGGCCCCCACAGCGGGCACAGCCGCAUCCCAAGACCUGGCCUUCCCGAGACGGCCCCCAUGUGCCCCACAGCCAUGGCCCGUGGAGACGCCAUUCAGGCCACGUCUCGGGAGCCAGGAGCCCGGGCAAUUAGAGGAACCAGAUUUUAAACACCAACGAGACAUUGCUUUGCCUCCCACCGGAUCGGCCAAAAUCGCCAAGGACGACGACAUUGGGAGCUGGCAGUGCCACGGGAAACGGGCAGCCUCCCUCAGCCCGUCGGACAAGGCUCCCGCUGUAGCUGAGCUUUCUGGAAGGUGUCACCACCGCCUCUAACAGCAAGAGUUGACUCCAGAAACCACCGGCACGGGCCUCAGCAGGGGCCUGGAGGCACUGACGAUGGAGAGGCCCGAAGGGGGCGGCCAACCGGCACACAGUCACCAAGCGUGAGUGCCAACUCAUCCCAGGCUCAGCCAGCCCCCGGCAGACACGGUCAUCACCCCAUUUUACAGACAGGACACUGAAGCCCAGGGAAGUGAUGGCCACACAGCAACUGAGGCGCGGAGCUGGGAGGGGUACCCUGGUGGGAACAACUCCAGGGGCUCCCCCUUAACCACUGCCUGGCACUCGCCCUCUCUACAAACCGAUACCAACAUAGGGUGGGGAGACUCCAGAUGACCACAGAUAAAAAGCAAGCAGUUCACAGAGUCAUACACGUGUGGCAUUUCUCACCAGGGCCGUCCUGCCCCCAGGGGACACUGAACAAUGUCUGGGUCACUUGUGGCUGUCACAACUGGGAGGUACUCCUGGCGUACAGUGGACAGAAGCCAGGGGCGCUGCUCAGCACCCCUCAUUUCCUGGCUCAACAUACCUCUGCCAAGGCAGAGAAGCCCCAGUGAGGCAUGAAACCAUCUCGGUGAAGAACAAGCAGGCCCCUUUAUGUGCUCAGGUCUCCGCGGCCCAUCCAGGCACAACCUAAACUCACCAGCACUGACAUAGAAGAGAUGGCGUUGGAGGAAUGAGGCAACUCUGAAUUUUAAAAUUUCAGAGGCAAUAUAUGGCCAGCUGGGGUCCGAUUUCUGUGGAUUUCAGGGAUGGGCAGAGAUGCCGGACCCUGACCUUCCAGCUGUCCCCUCCCCGCCCAUGCUCAGCCCCAGCCAUGGCUCCUGCAGCUGGCAACUUUAUCUGUCCCCAGUGCUCCCAGAGCCCCUGAUAAGAUGAAUGGUCACAGUGCGGUUUUCUC